Molecule: long non-coding RNA, 3002 nt
Filed under: Homo sapiens (human)
Lineage: Eukaryota; Metazoa; Chordata; Mammalia; Primates; Hominidae
Description: HSALNT0179627
Source: RNAcentral
AGUACUCAAACCUGGAGGGACAGUUGACCUUUUUUUUUCCCAAUAACACAGAAUUAGGACUGAAUUUUAAGGGAUAAUAAUUGACUUCCUUGGAGGAAGGAAGAUAAGUGCAAAUUCUCAGGAUCAGCAGGGAAAUUCGGUUUGGUGUGAAUUUUAGUAUCUGCAGGUAUGAGAAACCAACAGAGAAAAAAGACAUCACAGCAGGUAGCAACUGGCUUAAUGUGAAAACUACUCAGGAUACUAGUUGAAAAAGAAGGUAAAUCCAACUGAGGUCUGUUUCUGGUGAGAAUGCUAUAGCCCAGUUGUUGCCUAUAUUCGAUAUGCCCUUAAAAUUGAUCAGAAACAAGUCUCACGAUUCUGGAGACAAGAAAGUCCACAAUCAAGGUGCUGGCAGAUCCGGUGACAGAAACUCUUAUCAACAGAGCAAACAGACAACCUAUAGAAUGGGAGAAAAUAUUUGCAAGAUAUGCAUCUGACAAAGUUCUGACAUCCAACAUCUAUAAGGAGCUUGAACAAAUUCAUAAGGAAAAAACAAACAACCCCAUUGAAUUUUCUGAUGACUAAUAAUGCUGAACACAUUUUCAUGUGCGUAUUUUCCAUUGAUAUAUCUUCUUUAGUGAGGUCUUUAUUUUUCCAAUCAUUUGCCAUUUUAAAAAUUAGAUAGUUUGUUGUCUUGAGUUGUGAAAGUUUUUAUGUAUUCUGAUAUGUCUUUUUCAGGUACAAGGUUUGCAAAUUUGAGAUUCCUUUUAGUCUCUCCAUAUUGCAUGUUUCCUACUAAAAUAAAGUUGCAACUAAAGAGAUUGAACUACUGAAUACAAACUAACAAAUGCAUGAUUUUAAGAUUUUUAAAAGACAAUUAUAUGAUAAGUUAGAGUAAAUGGCUAUUACUGAAUUAGUUGCUUAAAGAAAUUGAGUAAAAAAACUCUCAACAUACCAAAAAAAGGUAAUAUUGCAAAAAACUAUAGAAAGAGAUUUCUCUAACCUUAAGCAAGACGUUAUACUGUCAAAUUGAAGCUUUAAUUGUGGUCUAGACAGCACUUAUUUUAAAAGACUUUAGCAUACCUUGUACAAUUGUUGGAAUCUCAAGACAAGGAAACAAAAAAUCUCUCUGACAGAAAGAUAAAGUGUAUGGCUUUUCUGCACUUCAGCUUAAUGAUGUAAUCUAUUAUGGCAAUACAUUUUCUGAUAUGGAAAAAUUAACACAUUCCUAGAAUAAUUUCUAUCCUUUUUAUACUUUGCUAGGUACUAUUUUCUAAUGUUUUAUUUAAAAAUUACACAUCUAUUUUUUCAAUGGGUAUUCUUUCUCUGUUUUCUUUCUCCAUCUUAUUCAUGUUUUAGUAUUUAGAAAUAGGUAACUGCCUAAAACAAACAAACAAAAAAAACUUUUAUCUUUUUUUAUCAUUUUUCUUUUCUUUUUAUUUAUUUAGUUAGUUAGUUAGUUAGUUAUUUUUGAGACAGACUGUCACUCUGUCACCCUGGCUGGAGUGAGUGCUGUGGUGUGAUUUCAGCUCACUGCAACCUCUGCCUCCUGGGUUCAAGUGAUUCUCAUGCCUCAGCCUCCUGAGUAGCUGGAGUUACAGAUGUGCACCACCGCACCCGGCUAAUUUUUGUAUUUUUAGUAGAGACGGGGAAUCACCAUGUUGGCAAGGCUGGUCUUGAACUCCUGACCUCAAGUCAAGUCAUCCACCCACCUUGGCCUCUUAAAGUGCUGGGAUAACAGGCAUGAGUCACUGCGCCUGGCUGUCAACUUUUACCUUUUCUGAUUAGUUGGAAUACUUAAGUUUCAGGAUAAUUUUUUUUUUUUUUUUUUUUUAGAGAUUAGAUAAACCUCUUUUAUGAAAUUAUGUUGUCCUGGAGCCUUUAUACAAAACACACACACAUGCACUCUUUAAUCAUCACCUUUCCAAUCUCUUCUAAAAUCAUUUGUAUAUUUAUUUUAGUGUGCUUUUCUCUUUUCUUGGAUCAAUUUUGGGAAUGUAUACUUUACUAGGAUAUAAUCUAAUCUAUUGUAUUACAGCUUUUGCUAGAAUCACCAAGCAUGUUGAAUCAUAGUAAGUAUUUUAAAUUUGUAAAAAGUCAGUUGUGACUCCAGAAUAUUUACCAUUUGGAAACAGAAGCAGAGAAGAUCACAGACAGUUUACAUUCAAUAUGAUGAAAAAUAAAGAGCCACCAUGCUUUGUUCCUUCUCCUAAGGUUUUCAAUCCAGUCAUAACACCAGCGUUGACUGUUUUUAUUCCUAACAGAUGCUUGUUAUAUUCUCAGUUUGAUUACAAAUUCAGAGGAGGAAAAAACGUGACUUGUCAGCCCUCUUAAACCAAAAGAAAACAUUAAAAAGUAAUAAUAGGGACUAUGAAAGAGCAAGAGUACAUACAACCUACCUAAUAUGUAUGUCUCUUCAUGUCUCUUCAGCACUGUACUGUGUUCAACAUCGAUGAUAAAUAAAAUUUUCAUUUUUCAAUUUAAAACUAAAUUUAAAAUUAAUACAAUUAUCAGUUUAUCAAUUAAGGUAUUUAUUAAUCAGGCAUCUUCACUAUCAUUAAAUAAUAGUUUAUUAGAUAAUUAUGAUUAAUAGUUCAUUAAGAGGGUUAUUUAAUGAUAAUGAAUAUCUGGUGAGCAAUUUCUAUUAAGCAUCUACCAUAUGCAGAUUUUAUGCUUGACUUUAGGGAUUCAAUGUUGUGUUAUUUAACAUUACAAUCCGUGAACAUCUUAUGUUCUAGUGCUUGUUACUGUACUAUAGGCUAUAUCAAAGAUAAGCCAUCAGAGAUGAUUUAAUUUGAAUUUCUUUUAAACAAAUUAAAAAUUAAAUUAUCUGUACUGUUGCAAUACCCGUUUUCCUCAACUUUCUCUUUUCCUUUGCAUUCUACAUUUAUGGGCAGAAAUUUGAAAAGAAAAGAAAAAUGCUGAGCUCUCAUGUUUGAAAAAAAAAAGAGGAAUGUUGAUUCCUCAAAAACACUAUUCAUCCGCAUAGUCUGUUUGAUACACCCAAGAAUACUACCAAGAGG